CAGUAGCCGCGGUAAUACGUAGGGUGCAAGCGUUGUCCGGAAUCAUUGGGCGUAAAACGCGUGUAGGCGGCUCGAUAAGUCUGCUGUGAAAGUCCAGGGCUCAACCCUGGAAUGCCGGUGGAAACUGUCGAGCUCGAGUCCGGAAGAGGCAAGUGGAAUUCCUGGUGUAGCGGUGAAAUGCGCAGAUAUCAGGAGGAACACCAAUGGCGAAGGCAGCUUGCUGGGACGGUACUGACGCUGAGACGCGAAAGCGUGGGGAGCAAACAGGAUUAGAUACCCCGGUAGUCCCUGUCUCUUAUAA
Molecule: ribosomal RNA, 301 nt
Filed under: uncultured bacterium
Lineage: Bacteria
Description: partial 16S ribosomal RNA
Rfam family: Bacterial small subunit ribosomal RNA
Source: RNAcentral